CAGCCGCCGCGGGAAUACGGAGGGCGCGAGCGUUACCCGGAUUUACUGGGCGUAAAGGGCGUGUAGGCGGCCUGGGGCGUCCCAUGUGAAAGGCCACGGCUCAACCGUGGAGGAGCGUGGGAUACGCUCAGGCUAGAGGGUGGGAGAGGGUGGUGGAAUUCCCGGAGUAGCGGUGAAAUGCGCAGAUACCGGGAGGAACGCCGAUGGCGAAGGCAGCCACCUGGUCCACUUCUGACGCUGAGGCGCGAAAGCGUGGGGAGCAAACCGGAUUAGAUACCCCGGUAGUCCCUGUCUCUUAUAA
Molecule: ribosomal RNA, 301 nt
Filed under: uncultured bacterium
Lineage: Bacteria
Description: partial 16S ribosomal RNA
Rfam family: Bacterial small subunit ribosomal RNA
Source: RNAcentral